GAAAAUUACAAGCAUAAGCUCAAAACUCAAAGGACUUGGCGGCGCUUUAGAUCCUCCUAGAGGAGCCUGUCCUGUAACCGAUAAUCCCCGUUAAACCUUACCUUCUUUUGCCUCCAGUCUAUAUACCGCCGUCGUCAGCUUACCCUUUGAGGGCUCUAUUAGUAAGCAAGUUCGGUCGAGCCUCAGACGUCAGGUCGAGGUGUAGCAUAUAAGAAGUGAAGAGAUGGGCUACAUUUCCUCCCAGGGUCUCACGAAUAGUAAAUUGAAACAUAUACAUUGAAGAAGGAUUUAGUAGUAAGUAAAAAAUAGAGAGUUUUACUGAAACCGGCCCUGAAGCGCGCACACACCGCCCGUCGCUCUCUCCUAGUCUUCAUUCUACUUUUACAUUAAAUUACUACAUCAGCAAAGGAGAGACAAGUCGUAACAUGGUAAGUGUACUGGAAAGUGCACUUGGUUAAAC
RNAcentral lists this ribosomal RNA (460 nucleotides) under Rivulus cylindraceus (green rivulus). Its description in RNAcentral is "partial 12S ribosomal RNA". It matches the Rfam family "Bacterial small subunit ribosomal RNA", at positions 875 to 1527 of the family's 1533-position model. Lineage: Eukaryota; Metazoa; Chordata; Actinopteri; Cyprinodontiformes; Rivulidae. The record is from RNAcentral.